UAGCACAGAACUCAAACUAUUACGUUUUAAUCUUUCGCCUUUUACUAAAGAUUACCGUGGUUAGGGUUUACUAUGUGCAUAUCAAACAUCUUUUUGUGGGCACCUCUGGUGCUUU
Molecule: small nuclear RNA, 115 nt
Organism: Stylonychia lemnae
Lineage: Eukaryota; Ciliophora; Spirotrichea; Sporadotrichida; Oxytrichidae
Rfam family: U5 spliceosomal RNA
About the family: U5 RNA is a component of both types of known spliceosome. The precise function of this molecule is unknown, though it is known that the 5' loop is required for splice site selection and p220 binding, and that both the 3' stem-loop and the Sm site are important for Sm protein binding and cap methylation.
Source: Rfam